Molecule: unclassified non-coding RNA, 226 nt
Filed under: Hevea brasiliensis (rubber tree)
Lineage: Eukaryota; Viridiplantae; Streptophyta; Magnoliopsida; Malpighiales; Euphorbiaceae
Source: RNAcentral
AUGCUAUGGCAUUGGUUUAGGCUUUGGGUUUAGAGUUGUUUCCCUAGAUCCCAACUUCAGGAAGCUGUCAAUUGAUGAUAUUGUGAAUGCUUAUAUCAAGUCUAAGAGCAGGGCCAUAUUCCUGGACUAUGAUGGAACUGUGAUGCCGCAGAAUUCUAUCAUUAAGUCUCCUAGUGCUAAUGUUAUCUCCAUCCUGAAUAAACUUUCUGGUGAUCCAAACAACACA